CGAUUGACACGACUUUCGGCAAUGGAUAUCUCGGCUCUCGCAUCGAUGAAGAGCGCAGCGAAAUGCGAUACGUGGUGCGAAUUGCAGAAUCCCGCGAACCAUCGAGUCUUUGAACGCAAGUUGCGCCCGAGGCCAACCGGCCAAGGGCACGUCCGCCUGGGCGUCAAG
RNAcentral lists this ribosomal RNA (168 nucleotides) under Dendrobium sulcatum. Its description in RNAcentral is "5.8S ribosomal RNA". It matches the Rfam family "5.8S ribosomal RNA". Rfam says of the family: 5.8S ribosomal RNA (5.8S rRNA) is a component of the large subunit of the eukaryotic ribosome. It is transcribed by RNA polymerase I as part of the 45S precursor that also contains 18S and 28S rRNA. Lineage: Eukaryota; Viridiplantae; Streptophyta; Magnoliopsida; Asparagales; Orchidaceae. The record is from RNAcentral.